GACCCCAUCGUCUAGAGGCCUAGGACACUACCCUUUCACGGUAGGUACCGGGGUUCGAAUCCCCGUGGGGUCGCCA
RNAcentral lists this transfer RNA (76 nucleotides) under Rhodoferax sp. RNAcentral describes it as "tRNA-Glu". It matches the Rfam family "tRNA". From Rfam's summary of the family: Transfer RNA (tRNA) molecules are approximately 80 nucleotides in length. Their secondary structure includes four short double-helical elements and three loops (D, anti-codon, and T loops). The record is from RNAcentral. Lineage: Bacteria; Pseudomonadati; Pseudomonadota; Betaproteobacteria; Burkholderiales; Comamonadaceae. RNAcentral also lists the same sequence under 39 other names.